Molecule: non-coding RNA, 83 nt
Organism: Abortiporus biennis
Lineage: Eukaryota; Fungi; Basidiomycota; Agaricomycetes; Polyporales; Podoscyphaceae
Source: the annotation of a GenBank genome assembly
GGGCACAUGGUGUAGUUGGUUAUCACAUCUGCUUAGCAUUAAUAGCAUGCAGGGGGUGCUGGGUUCAAUUCCCAGUGUGUCCA